UUCGCAAUGCCCGAAAGGGUGACGAAGCGACGCCGCGUGGGUGAGGAAGGCCUUCGGGUUGUAAAGCCCUGUCAGGAGUUAAGAAAUAUAAGUGCGCUAAUAUCGCAUUUAUUUGACGAAGGCUCCAAAGGAAGCCACGGCUAACUCCGUGCCAGCAGCCGCGGUAAUACAGAGGUGGCAAGCGUUGUUCGGAAUUAUUGGGCGUAAAGAGCACGUAGGUGGGUUUGUAAGUCAGAUGUGAAAGCCUUCUGUUCAACGGAAGAAUUGCAUCUGAAACUACAAGUCUUGAGUGUAGGAGGGGAGAAUGGAACUUCUGGUGGAGCGGUGAAAUGCGUAGAUAUCAGAAGGAACGCCGGCGGCGAAAGCGAUUCUCUGGCCUAUUACUGACACUCAGUGUGCGAAAGCUAGGGGAGCAAACGGGAUUAGAUACCCCGGUAGUCCUAACCGUAAACGAUGGGCACUAAGUAGAGGGGUUUU
RNAcentral lists this ribosomal RNA (477 nucleotides) under Candidatus Scalindua brodae. RNAcentral's name for it is "bacterial SSU rRNA". It matches the Rfam family "Bacterial small subunit ribosomal RNA", at positions 365 to 832 of the family's 1533-position model. The record is from RNAcentral. Lineage: Bacteria; Pseudomonadati; Planctomycetota; Candidatus Brocadiia; Candidatus Brocadiales; Candidatus Scalinduaceae.